Long non-coding RNA from Phyllostomus discolor (pale spear-nosed bat), 6733 nucleotides. RefSeq lists it as uncharacterized. The record is from RefSeq and is a predicted model, not a curated record. Lineage: Eukaryota; Metazoa; Chordata; Mammalia; Chiroptera; Phyllostomidae. The transcript has 2 exons.
GCUAGCACUCAAUCCACUGAGCCGUACCAGCCAGGGGGGGAUGAAAACUUUUAAAAAGAGACAAAGGCCAGCCUUUGUGCCACUGGAGCUGAGGCUAUAUCAUGAAAAUACAACCGUGUCAAGUUGACGACAGUCUAAGGUACCUUGCUAAUAAUUAGCACUUCUUUACUGAUAGAAACGGUGGGGUUGGGAUCAGCCGUAAGUAAUCUUUGCUGCUUGUUCCUAAUAUUUCUUAAAAGCUCCCUGAAAGGAUGAUUACCUUUUCCAUAGGAAAAAAAAUUUGUAUUACCCUACUCCAUCAACAUUUUUCAUCUUUAAAACUUUUUUUAAUUACAAAACUAUGAAUUCUGCCCAGAUGUUGUUUCAAGACCAUACACUUGCAAAAUAUUAAUUCUAGUGAAGCAUCAGUUUGUAGAAUAGUGGUCAAAACUCUGAAGACCCUGCUUCUAAUAUACAUGAGAUUAAAAUGCCAUAACUAAGCUAUUUCUAUUCUCUAAUCAAUUCCAUUCUUUUAUAUCCGUUGCCUUGAGUUUUCAAAAUACCCGAUUUAGGAUUGUUUGUGGAUGUGUAAUCUUGGUCCCCUGAACUGUGAAAUGAAUUACAUUUUCCUUUGUUAUCCCAAAGGCAGACAUUUGGCCUUUCUACUGUUUAUCAUAGUUUCUCAGUUGUGUGCCCUUUCAUUCUAAUUUGCUAUACCUUACUCUAGAUGGUUGCAUAUGUAAAAAUAGAAAUAAAAAGCCAAGAAAUGUUCACUUUAAAAAACAUUCCGUUGAAAUUUCCUCUUGGUUUAAAUAUAUUUUAAUUUUAUAUCUCUUUUAGUAAAGUAAUGACUAAAUCAUUUGUAUUUUUUAUUUAUAAAGUGCUUCACUUGUGUUAUUGCCCCUGAAUAGAGACAUGGCUGACAAGUGUGGGAUGUUGAGCUGCGUAGCACUGGAGAUAAACUCGGAGAUACUCUUGGUAUCCUAUCACCCACAGGCAUCACGUUGGCAUAAGGACAGAGAAGAACAGAAUGGACUAAAAAUAUCAAAAAUUUCAAAUAAUUCAUAUCUAUUAUAAGAGAAACUAAAUUUCUACAUAAUUUUUUAAAUCUGUGUAUUUAUUGGGUACUUUUCUGGGAGCCCUACUCUUUUAUAUGGUGUAAGAACUAAGUAUUGGUUUUGAAAUAGGUUGAUGUCCAUCAUCAUAUCAUCGUCAUCAAAGAGCACUAACCUGUGAAAUAAUCUGAAUUCUUUCUAUAGCUACUGCUAACCUGAUGCACGAUGGUGAACAAAUAAUAUCUUUUUGGAGAUUCAUUUCCAAAAUUGUCCCAAUGAGUGUCAUACUCUCUCCUCAGCAUGAUUCUGUAAGGCCAAAAUAAAAUACCUGUAAAGAUAACUUCUCAGAAAGCACAACAUUAAUGCAAGGUGGUAUUAUUAUUAUGGAGGAGGAGCAAUGAUAUGGUGGUAAUGCAUGCAGGCUCUGGAGCCAGACUUUCCCGGUUCAAAUCAUGACUCUUACUAGAUCUUUGACCUUGGACAAGCUACUUUAUCUCUGCAUGUCUCAAAUUCCUCAACAGUAAACAGACCGAAUAACAAUUCUUACCUCACAGUGUUGUUAUGAGGAUUAAAUAAGAUUAUAAUGUAAAGCACUUAGCACAGGGCCCAAGAUAUGUUAAGUGUCCCUUGCCCUUAAAUAAUAAUAUUUCAAUAUAUAAUACAGUAUCAAAUUUUGAACCACUCUGCGAUGCUUGAUUCAGAGCACUCAAAGCUUAUUAAACAAAAUUCUGGCUGAAAUUUUCUGAUUCAAAUUACAAAUGCCCUUAUGGAAGAGAUUUAUUCCUUUUAGAAAGAGGAGGUCACGAGGACACUGCCUGAGCUACCAGAAAUCCCAAUAUAUAUUUGCAAGUUCCUUUUAAGCUGUGGUAGCAUCUUUCUGAACCUGUAAGUUCCAACUGCUUUUAAAGGAAUCACUUGAUUCUCCUUCCUCCCAGAAAUAUUUCCAUCGCAUAAUAUCAUCAUUCGAUUAAAUGAAAACUCCCAAAAUCAUGGCAGUUUUCAAGACUAAAUUCAUUUAUACCUUGUUUUGAAUUUAUGGGAAAUCCACGCCCACCUUAGCCCUACCUCUGGGUAAUAUUUUCUCCAUGACAGGGCCUCACUGGGGAAAUUCUAACUGAAGAUAACAGCAUAGUGUAUUAAAUGUUGCCAGUAUUCCAUUUAAUAUUAAACAACUGCAUGGCAGGCUAUUUAAAUACCUAAGUUAAAAGUGAUACAUUAAUAUUGAGUAUGCUGCUACUGUAUAAAGUCCAUUCUCCUAGUGAUUUCCAACAAGCACCAUUUAAGUGCCAACCUACUAUUACAAGAGUUUACUAUUUUAUUUUUGCUCCAAAAUGGCAUCAACAAUGAUGGGGUGCUUCCAGGGGAUUGUUGAACAGAAUUUUUACAACAAAAGAGCAAGCUUAGGGAACAGCAAAAUAUCAACAGUAGUAAUUGCAAUGUUUGUGUUAGCACUCCUCAAAGCCACACACACUCAUCAAACAAGCAGCUUUAAAGCAUGCGCAAUUGCAACUGAAGUGUAACUGACUUCCGCACAACUGGCGGAUUUCCUGUCCAAAAAUUACCGUGUGGUCAUCUGUAGCUGAAUGGUUACAAAUCAUCAAGUUAGUAAGAUAUCCCCAACCCAAUAUAUCUGUUUAAAAAAAUAAAAAGGAAAAGGAGUCAAAGUGACCAAACCUCGUCAUCUGCCAAUUCUCUGUGACUUCCUUUUAUUCCUUUUUCUUUUCAUUGGGAAAGAAAGGAAAAACAAAAACAAACUAAAACCCUCUCUCUGUAAUAUCUGUGUGUUCAAAGUGUCGAGUCCCCGUGAGCUCAUUUACGGCUUUUUUUUUUUUUUUUUUCCUUUACUUUGCUUGUCUUGCCUGCUAAUUUCUUACUGGAGGAAAUCAGCGCUUUCAGGACGAGCUGUUCCUUUAACCCCUUUGACUGGCUCCUCCUUGGAGGCGAGCGAGGCGUGCUGCAGUGUCUGGGAACCCACCUAGAGGGCCCCCUUGACGCCAGCACAUCCCCUGUCAGGCAGCAGUCUCUGCAGCCGGUAGGGCUGCUGCAGAGUUAAUGUACAGGACCACGGAGCCUGCAAGUGUCCUGAGCUGCUCGGAGCGGCACAGCCCAGGGCAGACAAGGCGGCUGGCUGCGACGACUCCAAAGGUUCUGCUGGAAAUUCGGCGCUGGGGGACCCCAGCAGGAGCCUGUUGCCAUUGUGUUUUAAAAGCAUGCAAGGUCUGUAUGGCUUGGGCAUGAGAAUCUUUCAGAAGAUGUCAGAGCACCAGAGUAAAUGACACCUAUUGGGGAAUUGAAUAGGGGACAAAAAAGAGAGAGAAAAGAGAGAAGAAAGACAGCGGGAAAGAAAUUCUUAGACAACGUCUGACUCGCAGCUGUGAAAUUCAUUUUCUUAACAAGGCAAAAUAUGAAAAGCCCGCACAUGGUUUUGAUAACAACAAAUUAAAGGGGUUUCUGCAGCGAAAGGAUCAAUAGCUUAGUCAUUUUACUUAAAGAGAGCAGACAGCCUUACUGUGGGGUUAGGCAGCUGAGAUGAAUUUUCUUCAUGACACCACCUUCUGAAGUCAUAAUGGUAACUGAUGGUAUUCCUGCCCUGCAAAGCAGAAAUUGCUCAUUGCCUUCCUACUUUUGCAGUUGAAAACCAGCAAUUCUGAGAUUUGGGGAAGAAGUUGGCUUUGAUUGUACAUGGUUUCUAGCCCCUCUGCCCAGGUCUUUGUCCGACACGUCUCAGAAGGCAGCACUGCGUUCAAGUGACCACACAUGAAUAUGUGCCUAAGAAAGAAGAAAAAGCAAUAUUCAUUUCUAAAGGACAGCAUGGCAAAGCAACCUGAAGUUUUCCACUUUCCUUCUAAUACGUCUUUAACAAGGAUAACAAGAAACUGUCUUUUGACUCCCUUUUUUCCACAUUCCAGAGUCCUUCUUGCAAGGAUGCAUUAAUUUACACUCUAGGCAGUUGGAUUUUUACCAGGACAAUAUUUGCCACCAUUUAGGAUAAACGAAUGAACUGGUUAUUUUAGUGUUUUGACUAAUUAGUGGAACCUAAAUGGAUGGACUCCUACCUGCAGUGCUCUGUGAUGUUUCUUUCUUCAAACCCCGGAAGGGCUUUUUUUGUUGCUCUUUGUUUUUUGGGGGUAUUUUUUUGGAAUUCAAUACUUGUUGCAAUAAUUGCCCAUGAUAGCUGCUCACACAGGAGGGUUGGAAUUCAUCCGUGAAAAUCACUACAUGUAACAUAAGAGACCAGGAAAACACCGAUGAGAGAAGACCUGCAAAUAUGAUGCACGUGAAUAAUUUCCCCUUUAGGAGGCAUUCCUGGAUAUGGUAAGUACUUUUGGUUUCCUUAAUGCUGAAAGAAAAUGCACCUGUCUGAUGUAGAACAAAUGGCUUAUAAACUCAAAAAACAAAAGAUAAAAAUUCCAUGCUGACGGUAAAGAAUGGCCUGCGACCUGAUACUGGUAAGAAUGACAUCAGCAUGCAAACAUUCCUCUUUUUCCUAAGGGAAGGGGGCGAACCGCACAAGACGAUGGAGUAGGGAUUGUCUCUGUGAGAGUAAGGAGAAGACUGUAGGAAUGUUGCUGAAGUAUUUAUUCACACCUGCUUGUUACGUCGAUGAACAGGUGAUGUUUCUGAGCUGGCUUACUAUUUCCCAGAUUGGAAAUUAUCCACCUAAGUGCAGCUUUUAAACAUUUCCUAAACGUCCCAAAUGGAAACAGAUGCGGGCAAUGCUGAGGAACUGUUUGUCAUUUGUUUCUAAAAGGGAGUCAAAAAUAGAAAAUGUAGUAUUUUGAGUAUUUAAUUUUCACAUGUAUAGGUAUAAAGCGAUCUACUUAAAUAUUUCAGUGGCAUAUGAUCGUGUAUAGAUGUAUAAGCUUCGUCCAGAAAUAUUUUUAAAGCUUUUUAUAAGAAAUGGUUACAAUCUGGUUGAGAGGGAAAUACCAACAGACUGAAACCUAAUUUAUUUCACAUAUUGCUUACACCUUGUUUCUCAUUUUUAUGUAUAGCUCCUGUGUGUAUAUCAAAUAACAUGUAAAAUAUAGUUGAAAUUAUAAUGCCUCAGGGAUGUUUUGCUUUGGCUCUGGAUUUCCAGAUUUAAAUGUCUGUGGUAAAUAGUAUAUGUUCAUAUCGAUGUCAGUGUAGUCCUUUUAGUAACAACACAUUACAUUUAAUAUAAAUUAAAAUUUACUAUGAAAUAUAAAUGGGUAAAUGUAUGAAUAGAAAUAUAUGAACAUUUAACAUAAACAAAUUGCCAGGGUUCAGCAGGUUAAGAGACUGCUGCCUCAGACUGAGCCGUUUUCUCUGCUGGUCACUGGGCUUUCCUCACUGGGUGCCUGCUCUCCUGCAACACUCUCUCUGCUUCACACGGCUUUGUCUGUGUGCGCCUAUGAGCCCGUAUCCCGCACAAAACCUCCCUCAAGCACUUCAACCCAUGCUGGUUUAUCUCUGCCCGGAAAUCAUCCUUCAGUAGAGUCCCUGUGUGUUUGCUGGGGCUGCUGUAGCAAAGUACCACGGACUGGUGGCUUAAACAAAGAAACAAGCAAAUGCAUUUCCUUGUUGACCUAGAGGCUGAAAGUCUGAGAUUAAGGUGUCAGCUGGGUUGGUUUUUUCUGAGGCCUCUCUUCCUGGCUUAUAGAUUUGCCUUCUUCUCCCUGUGUCUUGACAUGUUCUUCCCCCUCUAUGUGUCCUAAUCUCUCCUUAAAAGACACCAGUCAUAUUGGAAUAGGGUCUACUAUAAAGACUUAAUUUUAACUUGAUUACCUCUUUAAAGACACUAUCUCCAAAUACAUUCACAUUAUGAUGUUAGGAUUUUGACGUAUGAAUUUGGGGGCAUAUAAUUCAGCCCAUUUUCAUCCAUAUGACAGUUCUCACUUUUUUUUUUAACCAUUUCAUGUAAAUUAGUUCUGUCUUCCCCAGUCUAAUUACAAAUCUCAAAGAUAAGGACCAAUCAUAUUUUUAAGUUGUAUUGGCUUUAUUCAUAGUACCUAGAGGGGAGGGUACAUGAUAUUAAAUAUUGAAGAUGUCUUGUUUAAUAUGUUGGAAAGAAUAAUGUGAAAGGACCAAGCGAGCAUUCUUUUGUCAGUUGUCACUGACUUUGGCUCCCUUAUCUUGACAGAAAGAAACCAGUACCAGACUUAGGUCCUGGGGUCAGGCGGGGGUCAAAUGCAGGCUGUCUACUUCACUGCAAGCAGACCCAUCAGCAUUCCUAUCAGCAAAGGCAAUCUGGUGAAAGGAAAUGCUGAUCCCUGCAAAUGGGUGAACGUGUGAAGGGCAUUGAACCAAGGCACAUACCACAGAAGACAAUUUGGGCUUGUAGAAAAUAAUUACCUAAUUAAGAAUCUUUGGAAUUGGAGUCAGGUUCUUGGAGGGUAAAGUCAUGAACACAUUAAUGGUCCCAAGGUACUAAGUUGAGUAUUCUGGAACUAAAAUAAAUUUUAGUUCUUGAAAUCAUGCUAUAACUUCUGAAAUCCUGCUUAACUCUUUACUAAUAAUUCUAAGUAUGAGCACUCUAAUUUAUAUUUAAGACAAUAAGCUCAUUAAAUUUUCAAACUUAAAAAGUUAACUCAGUUGGAAUACUUUCUUCAGUUCCACAAUUUCUAGGGCCAGCAUUCAAAAGUAUUUUUAGUGCUUUAAAAUAGAAUUGUCCUAAAUUCAAAUUAUACAAAUGCUCAUUUAAUGCAGUUAUAAACAUGGCUCCAGGUUUUUUUAAA